UGCUCAGCUUUGAAUUCUGGCAGGAAAAAA
This 30-nucleotide non-coding RNA is filed under the name Mus musculus (house mouse). Lineage: Eukaryota; Metazoa; Chordata; Mammalia; Rodentia; Muridae. The record is from RNAcentral.